CCUUCGUGGUCGACGUACCUGAUGGCAACACAAAGGAUGAGACAUGCUACUUCGUCGAGGCUGUGAUCAAGUGCAACCUCAAAUCUCUCGCAGAGGUAUCCGAGCAGCUAGCAGUUGAGCCACCUACAUCGCCAAUCGAUCAGUGAGUCACCUGCAUCGCCGAUCCAUCAGUAACACCGGUACAAAGACGGGAAUUGGCAACAAAUAAGAAGCUUCAAAGGCCGGCUGGAGAGUUCAACCUUUUUGAGACUGGUGGUUCUGCCACCGUCUUCUGC
This 275-nucleotide long non-coding RNA is filed under the name Sorghum bicolor (sorghum). RNAcentral's name for it is "long non-coding RNA (SBIC_LNC015603)". The record is from RNAcentral. Lineage: Eukaryota; Viridiplantae; Streptophyta; Magnoliopsida; Poales; Poaceae.